RNAcentral lists this ribosomal RNA (465 nucleotides) under uncultured bacterium. RNAcentral's name for it is "bacterial SSU rRNA". It matches the Rfam family "Bacterial small subunit ribosomal RNA", at positions 917 to 1382 of the family's 1533-position model. The record is from RNAcentral.
GGGCCCGCACAAGCGGAGGAACAUGUGGUUUAAUUCGAUGAUACGCGAGGAACCUUACCUGGGCUUAAAUGUAGAGUGCAUGGGGGGGAAACUCUCCUUUCCUUAGGGACUCUUUACAAGGUGCUGCAUGGUUGUCGUCAGCUCGUGCCGUGAGGUGUCGGGUUAAGUCCCAUAACGAGCGCAACCCUUACCGUUAGUUGCCAGCGGGUAAUGCCGGGAACUCUAGCGGAACUGCCACCGUAAGGUGAGAGGAAGGUGGGGAUGACGUCAAAUCAGCACGGCCCUUAUGUCCAGGGCCACACACGUGUUACAAUGGCCGGUACAGAGGGCAGCUACCACGCAAGUGGAUGCGAAUCUCGAAAGCCGGUCUCAGUUCGGAUCGGAGUCUGCAACUCGACUCCGUGAAGCUGGAUUCGCUAGUAAUCGCGCAUCAGCCAUGGCGCGGUGAAUACGUUCCCGGGCCUU